CGGCAGGUCGAUGCUUACACAUGCAGUCGAUUCAAGUUACCUUCGGGUAAUGAGGAUGGCGGACGGGUGAGUAACGCGUAAGGAACUUGCCUCUUGGACUGGGACAACUGUUGGAAACGACAGCUAAUACCGGAUAUUAUGAGAUUCUCGCAUGAGAAACUUACGAAAGCUAUAUGCGCCAAGAGAGAGCCUUGCGUUCCAUUAGCUAGUUGGUGGGGUAACGGCCCACCAAGGCGACGAUGGAUAGCCGGCCUGAGAGGGUGAACGGCCACAAGGGGACUGAGACACGGCCCUUACUCCUACGGGAGGCAGCAGUGGGGAAUAUUGGACAAUGGGCCACAAGCCUGAUCCAGCAAUUCUGUGUGCACGAUGAAGGUCUUCGGAUUGUAGAGUGCUUUCAGUUGGGAAGAAGAAAGUGACGGUACCAACAGAAGAAGCGACGGCUAAAUACGUGCCAGCAGCCGCGGUAAUACGUAUGUCGCAAGCGUUAUCCGGAUUUAUUGGGCGUAAAGCGCGUCUAGGCGGAAAAAUAAGUCUGAUGUUAAAAUGCGGGGCUCAACUCCGUAUUGCGUUGGAAACUGUUUUUCUAGAGUACUGGAGAGGUGGGCGGAACUACAAGUGUAGAGGUGAAAUUCGUAGAUAUUUGUAGGAAUGCCGAUGGAGAAGUCAGCUCACUGGACAGAUACUGACGCUGAAGCGCGAAAGCGUGGGGAGCAAACAGGAUUAGAUACCCUGGUAGUCCACGCCGUAAACGAUGAUCACUAGGUGUUGGGGGUCGAACCUCAGCGCCCAAGCUAACGCGAUAAGUGAUCCGCCUGGGGAGUACGCACGCAAGUGUGAAACUCAAAGGAAUUGACGGGGACCCGCACAAGCGGUGGAGCAUGUGGUUUAAUUCUACGCAACGCGAGAAACCUUACCAGCGUUUGACAUCCUAAGAAGGUUCCGAAGAUGGAUUCGGGCCGGGUAGCCGGAACUUUGGGGCGGGUGGUGCUUGGUUU
RNAcentral lists this ribosomal RNA (998 nucleotides) under uncultured bacterium. RNAcentral describes it as "bacterial SSU rRNA". It matches the Rfam family "Bacterial small subunit ribosomal RNA", at positions 37 to 1051 of the family's 1533-position model. The record is from RNAcentral.